UGGGGAAUUUUGGACAAUGGGGGCAACCCUGAUCCAGCAAUGCCGCGUGAGUGAAGAAGGCCUUCGGGUUGUAAAGCUCUUUUGUCAGGGAAGAAACGGUAGUAGCGAAUAACUACUACUAAUGACGGUACCUGAAGAAUAAGCACCGGCUAACUACGUGCCAGCAGCCGCGGUAAUACGUAGGGUGCAAGCGUUAAUCGGAAUUACUGGGCGUAAAGCGUGCGCAGGCGGUUGUGUAAGUCAGAUGUGAAAUCCCCGGGCUCAACCUGGGAAUUGCAUUUGAGACUGCACGGCUAGAGUGUGUCAGAGGGGGGUAGAAUUCCACGUGUAGCAGUGAAAUGCGUAGAUAUGUGGAGGAAUACCGAUGGCGAAGGCAGCCCCCUGGGAUAACGACUGACGCUCAUGCACGAAAGCGUGGGGAGCAAACAGGAUUAGAUACCCGCGUAGUCCCUGAGCGGGCUGGCAAGGCGCAU
RNAcentral lists this ribosomal RNA (473 nucleotides) under uncultured bacterium. RNAcentral describes it as "bacterial SSU rRNA". It matches the Rfam family "Bacterial small subunit ribosomal RNA", at positions 355 to 825 of the family's 1533-position model. The record is from RNAcentral.